GACGACAGGGAUCAGCUUGGGUUGGAAACCGGGGCUUCUGCCUUGGAUUGUGGCCUUUAGACAUACUACCAACGGCGGCGCGAGCGUAAGCCUCUUGGAACAGAGCGUCUACGUGGGUGAGAAUCCUGUGUUUCGCUUGAUGCCCGCCGUGCACGGUACUUGCUCUCAGAGUCACGCUCCUCGGAAUUGGAGCGUAAAUUGGGUGGUAAAUUUCAUCUAAAGCUAAAUACAGGCUCGAGACCGAUAGCAAACAAGUACCAUGAGGGAAAGAUGAAAAGGACUUUGAAAAGAGAGUUAAAAGUGCUUGAAAUCGCUGAACUGGAAGCGAAUGGAACUAGUGCUCUGGUUGAGAUUGCUGUAAAUGGCUGCGACAUCUGGGCUCUGGAACGCAAGUCCUUUGUCUGGCUUGAAGUAGUCGCUUGCAAUGUGUCUCAGCUUGAACAUCAACUUCUAUGCAUACGUGAGGAUGGCCCUUGGCUCAUGCUGUGUUGCUGUGGCGAUACUCUUGUGCUUCUGGGGAUUCAGGUGUGUGUGGAUUGUUGAUCAAUUAGUUCCAUUCGACCCGUCUUGAAACACGGACCAAGGAGUCUAGCACUUGUGCAAGUUCUCAGGUGUCAAACCUCUGUGCGCAAUGAAGGUGACUGCUGGGAUUUUUUGCACCAGCAACCGACCAAUCAAUUGGGAGAAGUUUGAGUAAGAGCAUGUGUGUUA
This 711-nucleotide ribosomal RNA is filed under the name Symbiodinium sp. clade A. RNAcentral's name for it is "eukaryotic LSU rRNA". It matches the Rfam family "Eukaryotic large subunit ribosomal RNA", at positions 93 to 811 of the family's 3401-position model. Lineage: Eukaryota; Dinophyceae; Suessiales; Symbiodiniaceae. The record is from RNAcentral.